This 415-nucleotide ribosomal RNA is filed under the name uncultured prokaryote. RNAcentral's name for it is "bacterial SSU rRNA". It matches the Rfam family "Bacterial small subunit ribosomal RNA", at positions 355 to 785 of the family's 1533-position model. The record is from RNAcentral.
UGGGGAAUUUUCCGCAAUGGGCGCAAGCCUGACGGAGCAAUACCGCGUGAGGGAGGAAGGCUUUUGGGUUGUAAACCUCUUUUGUUAAGGAAGAAAAUUUGACGGUACUUAACGAAUCAGCAUCGGCUAACUCCGUGCCAGCAGCCGCGGUAAUACGGAGGGUGCAAGCGUUGUCCGAAUUUAUUGGGUUUAAAGGGUACGUAGGCGGGCUAUUAAGUCUGGGGUGAAAGCUUUCGGCUCAACCGGAAAAUUGCCCUGGAUACUGGUAGUCUUGAGUACAGUAGAGGUGGGCGGAAUUCAUGGUGUAGCGGUGAAAUGCAUAGAUACCAUGAGGAACACCGAUAGGGAAGCCAGCUCACUAGACUGUCACUGACGCUGAGGUACGAAAGCGUGGGGAGCGAACAGGAUUAGAUAC